CUACGGGAGGCAGCAGUGAGGAAUUUUGCGCAAUGGGGGGAACCCUGACGCAGCAACGCCGCGUGAGUGAAGAAGGCCUUUGGGUCGUAAAGCUCUGUCAACUGGGAAGAAAUUAGAGUUGUUUAACAGAUGAUUCUAUUGACGGUACCAGUGGAGGAAGCGCCGGCUAACUCCGUGCCAGCAGCCGCGGUAACACGGGGGGCGCAAGCGUUAUUCGGAAUUAUUGGGCGUAAAGGGCGCGCAGGCGGUCUUGUCGGUCAGGUGUGAAAGCCCGGGGCUCAACCCUGGAAGUGCACUUGAAACAGCAAGAAUUGAGUACGGGAGAGGAAAGCGGAAUUCCUGGUGUAGAGGUGAAAUUCGUAGAUAUCAGGAGGAACACCGAUGGCGAAGGCAGCUUUCUGGACCGAUACUGACGCUGAGGCGCGAAGGCGUGGGUAGCGAACGGGAUUAGAUACCCUGGUAGUC
Molecule: ribosomal RNA, 465 nt
Filed under: uncultured bacterium
Lineage: Bacteria
Description: partial 16S ribosomal RNA
Rfam family: Bacterial small subunit ribosomal RNA
Source: RNAcentral